UACGGAGGGUGCAAGCGUUAUCCGGAUUCACUGGGUUUAAAGGGAGCGUAGGAGGGCAGGUAAGUCAGUGGUGAAAUCUUCGAGCUUAACUCGGAAACUGCCGUUGAUACUAUCUGUCUUGAAUACCGUGGAGAUGAGCGGAAUAUGUCAUGUAGCGGUGAAAUGCUUAGAUAUGACAUAGAACACCAAUUGCGAAGGCAGCUCGAUACACGAAUAUUGACUCUGAGGCUCGAAAGCGUGGGGAUCAAACAGG
Molecule: ribosomal RNA, 253 nt
Filed under: uncultured bacterium
Lineage: Bacteria
Description: partial 16S ribosomal RNA
Rfam family: Bacterial small subunit ribosomal RNA
Source: RNAcentral